This 484-nucleotide ribosomal RNA is filed under the name uncultured bacterium. RNAcentral describes it as "partial 16S ribosomal RNA". It matches the Rfam family "Bacterial small subunit ribosomal RNA", at positions 30 to 507 of the family's 1533-position model. The record is from RNAcentral.
AUUGAACGCUGGCGGCAGGCCUAACACAUGCAAGUCGAGCGGAUGAAGGGAGCUUGCUCCUGGAUUCAGCGGCGGACGGGUGAGUAAUGCCUAGGAAUCUGCCUGGUAGUGGGGGAUAACGUCCGGAAACGGGCGCUAAUACCGCAUACGUCCUGAGGGUGAAAGUGGGGGAUCUUCGGACCUCACGCUCUCAGAUGAGCCUAGGUCGGAUUAGCUAGUUGGUGGGGUAAAGGCCUACCAAGGCGACGAUCCGUAACUGGUCUGAGAGGAUGAUCAGUCACACUGGAACUGAGACACGGUCCAGACUCCUAAGAGAGGCAGCAGAGGGGAAUGUGGGACAGUGGGCGAAAGCCUGAUCCAGCCAUGCCGCGUGUGUGAAGAAGGUCUUCGGAUUGUAAAGCACUUUAAGUUGGGAGGAAGGGCAGUAAGUUAAUACCUUGCUGUUUUGACGUUAACAACAGAAUAAGCACCGGCUAACUACGUG